This 191-nucleotide small nuclear RNA is filed under the name Erpetoichthys calabaricus (reedfish). RNAcentral describes it as "U2 spliceosomal RNA (ENSECRG00000012591.1)". It matches the Rfam family "U2 spliceosomal RNA". Rfam says of the family: U2 is a small nuclear RNA (snRNA) component of the spliceosome (involved in pre-mRNA splicing). Lineage: Eukaryota; Metazoa; Chordata; Cladistia; Polypteriformes; Polypteridae. The record is from Rfam by way of RNAcentral.
CCAACUUUUAAUAAAAAAUGUGUAAAAAAAAAAAAAAAUCUGUUCUUAUCAGUUUAAUAUCUGAUACGUCCCCUAUCUGGGGACCAUAUAUUAAAUUGAUUUUUGGAAAAAGGAGAUGGAAUAGGGGCUUGCUCCGUCCACUCCACGCAUCGACCUGGUAUUGCAGUAUCUCCAGGAACGGUGCACCUCCU